GGGACCGGGGGGGCGUGCUAAUACAUGCAGUCGAACGAGUUCUGAUUAUUGAAAGGUGCUUGCAUCUUGAUUUAAUUUUGAACGAGUGGCGGACGGGUGAGUAACACGUGGGUAACCUGCCCUUAAGUGGGGGAUAACAUUUGGAAACAGAUGCUAAUACCGCAUAAAUCCAAGAACCGCAUGGUUCUUGGCUGAAAGAUGGCGUAAGCUAUCGCUUUUGGAUGGACCCGCGGCGUAUUAGCUAGUUGGUGAGGUAACGGCUCACCAAGGCAAUGAUACGUAGCCGAACUGAGAGGUUGAUCGGCCACAUUGGGACUGAGACACGGCCCAAACUCCUACGGGAGGCAGCAGUAGGGAAUCUUCCACAAUGGACGCAAGUCUGAUGGAGCAACGCCGCGUGAGUGAAGAAGGCUUUCGGGUCGUAAAACUCUGUUGUUGGAGAAGAAUGGUCGGCAGAGUAACUGUUGUCGGCGUGACGGUAUCCAACCAGAAAGCCACGGCUAACUACGUGCCAGCAGCCGCGGUAAUACGUAGGUGGCAAGCGUUAUCCGGAUUUAUUGGGCGUAAAGCGAGCGCAGGCGGUUUUUUAAGUCUGAUGUGAAAGCCCUCGGCUUAACCGAGGAAGUGCAUCGGAAACUGGGAAACUUGAGUGCAGAAGAGGACAGUGGAACUCCAUGUGUAGCGGUGAAAUGCGUAGAUAUAUGGAAGAACACCAGUGGCGAAGGCGGCUGUCUGGUCUGUAACUGACGCUGAGGCUCGAAAGCAUGGGUAGCGAACAGGAUUAGAUACCCUGGUAGUCCAUGCCGUAAACGAUGAAUGCUAGGUGUUGGAGGGUUUCCGCCCUUCAGUGCCGCAGCUAACGCAUUAAGCAUUCCGCCUGGGGAGUACGACCGCAAGGUUGAAACUCAAAGGAAUUGACGGGGGCCCGCACAAGCGGUGGAGCAUGUGGUUUAAUUCGAAGCAACGCGAAGAACCUUACCAGGUCUUGACAUCUUUUGAUCACCUGAGAGAUCAGGUUUCCCCUUCGGGGGCAAAAUGACAGGUGGUGCAUGGUUGUCGUCAGCUCGUGUCGUGAGAUGUUGGGUUAAGUCCCGCAACGAGCGCAACCCUUAUGACUAGUUGCCAGCAUUUAGUUGGGCACUCUAGUAAGACUGCCGGUGACAAACCGGAGGAAGGUGGGGAUGACGUCAAAUCAUCAUGCCCCUUAUGACCUGGGCUACACACGUGCUACAAUGGAUGGUACAACGAGUUGCGAGACCGCGAGGUCAAGCUAAUCUCUUAAAGCCAUUCUCAGUUCGGACUGUAGGCUGCAACUCGCCUACACGAAGUCGGAAUCGCUAGUAAUCGCGGAUCAGCACGCCGCGGUGAAUACGUUCCCGGGCCUUGUACACACCGCCCGUCACACCAUGAGAGUUUGUAACACCCGAAGCCGGUGGCGUAACCCUUUUAGGGAGCGAGCCGUCUAAGGUGGACCAAAAUUG
Molecule: ribosomal RNA, 1481 nt
Filed under: Lacticaseibacillus rhamnosus
Lineage: Bacteria; Bacillati; Bacillota; Bacilli; Lactobacillales; Lactobacillaceae
Description: bacterial SSU rRNA
Rfam family: Bacterial small subunit ribosomal RNA
Source: RNAcentral